RNAcentral lists this small RNA (127 nucleotides) under unclassified sequences. Its description in RNAcentral is "LOOT RNA". It matches the Rfam family "LOOT RNA". From Rfam's summary of the family: Latescibacteria, OD1/Parcubacteria, OP11, TM7. The record is from Rfam by way of RNAcentral.
CGCCUAACCCUUGGUAACCCCCAAGGUAUGGUGCAAAACUCCGCUAAAGUGUAAAAACCUCCUCGUCAGGAGUCACUUUAGCGGUCAUAUCUGGAAACGGGUAUGGGUUUGGUCGAAAGACCAGAUC